UGGGGAAUAUUGCACAAUGGGCGAAAGCCUGAUGCAGCGACGCCGCGUGGAGGAUGACGGUCUUCGGAUUGUAAACUCCUGUUAAGUGGGAAGAAAGAACGUGUAUUAAUACCACACGGAGAUGACGGUACCACUAGAGAAAGCACCGGCUAACUUCGUGCCAGCAGCCGCGGUAAUACGAGGGGUGCAAGCGUUAUUCGGAAUAACUGGGCGUAAAGAGCGCGUAGGCGGCUUGUUAAGUCUGUUGUUAAAUUGUCUGGCCUAACCAGAUGUCGGCAAUAGAAACUGUCAAGCUAGAGGACAAGAGAGAGGGGUGGAAUUCUCGGAGUAGCGGUAAAAUGCGUAGAUCUCGAGAGGAACACCAAUGGCGAAGGCAGCCCCUUGGCUUGUAUCUGACGCUCAAGUGCGAAAGCGUGGGGAGCAAACAGG
Molecule: ribosomal RNA, 429 nt
Filed under: uncultured bacterium
Lineage: Bacteria
Description: bacterial SSU rRNA
Rfam family: Bacterial small subunit ribosomal RNA
Source: RNAcentral